Molecule: non-coding RNA, 625 nt
Organism: Cicer arietinum (chickpea)
Lineage: Eukaryota; Viridiplantae; Streptophyta; Magnoliopsida; Fabales; Fabaceae
Source: RefSeq, a predicted model, not a curated record
AUUUUUCUCUCUCAUGGAUACCCUUAACUAACAAAAACUUCCAUUUCAUUUCACCAACCAACCGAUUGCACCCUUUUUUCCACCAACAAAUCCAACCUUAUCUCAAAACAUUUAAAAAACAUCAACACCGUACCGUUACUGUUCAUCGUCUCUCUCGUCCAUCAAUUUUUUUCUUUUUUCCAAAAUUCUCUAAAGUCUUCUACACAUGUCUAACCCAUUGCAUGUCCCUAUCUUCAUCUCAAGAUCCAUUAGCUGACCACACUAACGCUAAAAGAAGAUAACAAGCAACAUUUGGGAGAUCUAUAAAUUCGAACCAGAGUAUAAAGGGAAGAAGAGCUAAGAGCUGAGAAAGCAAGCAAAUCCCAAAACCAAUUCGAAGUAUAGGAAUCCCUUCUUGGCAAAUCGGUGAAUAUUAGAUUGGAGGUGUGUACUUAAAUUAAACAUUCAAUUAAGUAUGUUUGAUCUUCUAAGUAACUUGCUUAAAAUAAAUAAGGACAUUGUGUUAGUAUCUUAUUUCUUCUAUAUUCUCUUAUUUCAUAAGGACUAGAACUAUUGUAUGAGUUCUAUAAAUGAAUUUUGUUUAUAAGACUUUGAAAUAAAGUUGGACUUUGAGUGUGUUUAACUA